Molecule: ribosomal RNA, 480 nt
Filed under: uncultured bacterium
Lineage: Bacteria
Description: bacterial SSU rRNA
Rfam family: Bacterial small subunit ribosomal RNA
Source: RNAcentral
GGAGAACGCUGGCGGCGUGCCUAAUACAUGCAAGUCGAGCGGGGAUUAUGCUUGAUCGCUUCGGUGAGACGGCAUAUAUCCUAGCGGCGGACGGGUGAGUAACGCGUGGGUAAUCUACCUCGUAGUUCGGGAUAACAGGCCGAAAGGCUUGCUAAUACCGGAUGAGUUCAUGCUUAUGCAUAUAGGCAUGAAGAAAGGGCUAGCCCGCUAUGAGAUGAGCCCGCGUCCCAUUAGCUUGUUGGUGGGGUAAUGGCCUACCAAGGCAACGAUGGGUAGCCGGCCUGAGAGGGUGUACGGCCACACUGGGACUGAGACACGGCCCAGACUCCUACGGGGGGCAGCAGUAGGGAAUUUUCGGCAAUGGGCGAAAGCCUGACCGAGCGACGCCGCGUGAGGGACGAAGGCCUUCGGGUUGUAAACCUCUGUCUGGGGGGAUGAGAACGGACGGUACCCCCGGAGGAAGCCCCGGCUAACUACGUG